UGCACUCUGCAACUCGAGUGCAUGAAGCUGGAAUUACUAGUAAUCGUGGAUCAGCGUGCCACGGUGAAUGCGUUCCCGGGUCUUGUACACACCGCCCGUCACACCAUGGGAGUUGGUUCUACCUUAAGGCAAGGUUUCAAACCCUUGACCACGGUAUAGUCAGCGACUGGGGUGAAGUCGUAACAAGGUAGCCGUAGGGGAACCUGCGGCUGGAUUACCUCCUUU
This 225-nucleotide ribosomal RNA is filed under the name Candidatus Pelagibacter sp. RNAcentral's name for it is "partial 16S ribosomal RNA". It matches the Rfam family "Bacterial small subunit ribosomal RNA", at positions 1299 to 1533 of the family's 1533-position model. The record is from RNAcentral. Lineage: Bacteria; Pseudomonadati; Pseudomonadota; Alphaproteobacteria; Candidatus Pelagibacterales; Candidatus Pelagibacteraceae.